GAAUGAAUGGAGAUUUUGGUAAAUUGCUGUGGAUCUCCUUGUCCCAGUACCGGAUAAGAUAUGCUUUUGGCGUAAGUGGACCGUCACCGGCCAGCAGUACCCUGGCACCGGCUGAACUCGCAUCGAGCAAGAAUGGGAAGCAGAAGAAGAUGAAGAAGAAGAAAGGGGAAAUUGGGUGAGCUUGCAUUUUCUUUACAAGCAAAGACGAGCGAGAAUGUUGGUGGGUUUGUAGGGUUGUGAAGUGAAGAAAUAUAUAAAAAGGAUUAGACAGAUGGGGAGAGAGAAAGAGAGUUUAUUUUUUUUAAUGGUGGAUUUGGCCUUGUGGUUAGUUAGUGAGCUUUGACACUUGAGGCUCCUUCUCCUCGUUUAGGCAUCACUGGUGAGUGGCACCAAGAGAAGAGUGACUCAAAGCUCUCUGUUGGAAGAGGAAUGAGGAAUGGGACUAUAUUUAUAAGCUCUAAAGAACACAGCAACUACAAAAGAGCUUCUAAAAACUUCAAGCAAUUAGCUUUUCCAUAAGUAGGCUGCAAAAUCU
This 535-nucleotide unclassified non-coding RNA is filed under the name Hevea brasiliensis (rubber tree). The record is from RNAcentral. Lineage: Eukaryota; Viridiplantae; Streptophyta; Magnoliopsida; Malpighiales; Euphorbiaceae.